UACAGAGGGGGCAAGCGUUGUCCGGAAUUACUGGGCGUAAAGGGCGCGUAGGCGGCCUGUUAAGUCGAACGUGAAAUCCCCGGGCUCAACCCGGGAACUGCGUCCGAUACUGGCAGGCUUGAAUCCGGGAGAGGGAUGCGGAAUUCCAGGUGUAGCGGUGAAAUGCGUAGAUAUCUGGAGGAACGCCGGUGGCGAAGGCGGCAUCCUGGACCGGCAUUGACGCUGAGGCGCGAAAGCCAGGGGAGCAAACGGG
This 253-nucleotide ribosomal RNA is filed under the name uncultured bacterium. RNAcentral's name for it is "partial 16S ribosomal RNA". It matches the Rfam family "Bacterial small subunit ribosomal RNA", at positions 524 to 776 of the family's 1533-position model. The record is from RNAcentral.